Molecule: unclassified non-coding RNA, 253 nt
Filed under: uncultured Nitriliruptoraceae bacterium
Lineage: Bacteria; Bacillati; Actinomycetota; Nitriliruptoria; Nitriliruptorales; Nitriliruptoraceae
Description: contains 16S-23S intergenic spacer region
Rfam family: Bacterial small subunit ribosomal RNA
Source: RNAcentral
UACAGAGACCCCAAACAUUGUCCGGAAUCAUUGGGCGUAAAGCGCACGUAGGCGGCCCUGUAAGUCGAAUGUGAAAUCCCGAGGCUCAACCUCGGAACUGCAUUCGGUACUGCAGGGCUUGAGGAAGGUAGAGGAGAGUGGAAUUCCCGGUGUAGCGGUGGAAUGCGCAGAUAUCGGGAGGAACACCAGCGGCGAAGACGGCUCUCUGGGCCUUACCUGACGCUGAGGUGCGAAAGCGUGGGGAGCGAACAGG